GCUGUAAACGAUGUCGAUUUGGAGGUUGUGCCCUUGAGGCGUGGCUUCCGGAGCUAACGCGUUAAAUCGACCGCCUGGGGAGUACGGCCGCAAGGUUAAAACUCAAAUGAAUUGACGGGGGCCCGCACAAGCGGUGGAGCAUGUGGUUUAAUUCGAUGCAACGCGAAGAACCUUACCUACUCUUGACAUCCAGAGAACUUUCCAGAGAUGGAUUGGUGCCUUCGGGAACUCUGAGACAGGUGCUGCAUGGCUGUCGUCAGCUCGUGUUGUGAAAUGUUGGGUUAAGUCCCGCAACGAGCGCAACCCUUAUCCUUUGUUGCCAGCGGUUCGGCCGGGAACUCAAAGGAGACUGCCAGUGAUAAACUGGAGGAAGGUGGGGAUGACGUCAAGUCAUCAUGGCCCUUACGAGUAGGGCUACACACGUGCUACAAUGGCAUAUACAAAGAGAAGCGACCUCGCGAGAGCAAGCGGACCUCAUAAAGUAUGUCGUAGUCCGGAUUGGAGUCUGCAACUCGACUCCAUGAAGUCGGAAUCGCUAGUAAUCGUAGAUCAGAAUGCUACGGUGAAUACGUUCCCGGGCCUUGUACACACCGCCCGUCACACCAUGGGAGUGGGUUGCAAAAGAAGUAGGUAGCUUAACCUUCGGGAGGGCGCUUACCACUUUGUGAUUCAUGACUGGGGUGAAGUCGUAACAAGGUAACCGUAGGGGAACCUGC
RNAcentral lists this ribosomal RNA (716 nucleotides) under uncultured bacterium. RNAcentral's name for it is "bacterial SSU rRNA". It matches the Rfam family "Bacterial small subunit ribosomal RNA", at positions 799 to 1515 of the family's 1533-position model. The record is from RNAcentral.